GACGAACGCUGGCGGCGUGCUUAACACAUGCAAGUCGAACGGAAAGGCCCUGCUUUUGUGGGGUGCUCGAGUGGCGAACGGGUGCGUAACACGUGAGUAACCUGCCCUUGAUUUUGGGAUAACUUCAGGAAACUGGGGCUAAUACCGGAUAGGAGCCCCCGCUGCAUGGUGGGGGUUGGAAAGUUUCGGCGGUUGGGGAUGGACGCGCGGCUUAUCAGUCUGUUGGUGGGGUAGUGGCUUACCAAGGCUUUGACGGGUAGCCGGCCGGAGAGGGUGACCGGCCACAUUGGGACUGAGAGACGGCCCAGACUCCUACGGGAGGCAGCAGUGGGGAAUAUUGCACAAUGGGCGGAAGCCUGAUGCAGCAACGCCGCGUGCGGGAUGACGGCCUUCGGGUUGUAAACCGCUUUCGCCUGUGACGAAGCGUGAGUGACGGUAAUGGGUAAAGAAGCACCGGCUAACUACGUG
RNAcentral lists this ribosomal RNA (468 nucleotides) under uncultured bacterium. RNAcentral's name for it is "partial 16S ribosomal RNA". It matches the Rfam family "Bacterial small subunit ribosomal RNA", at positions 28 to 507 of the family's 1533-position model. The record is from RNAcentral.